This 708-nucleotide long non-coding RNA is filed under the name Aotus nancymaae (Ma's night monkey). RNAcentral's name for it is "lncRNA (ENSANAG00000039345.1)". Lineage: Eukaryota; Metazoa; Chordata; Mammalia; Primates; Aotidae. The record is from RNAcentral.
AGGGAAGCAGCCUAGAAGCCAAGCGGGCACUAAGCGAGUGCGCACCGUGUGUGUGUGCGGGCGUGUGUGUGUGUGUGCGCGCGGGGGCGUGUGUGUUGUGUGUGUGUGUGUGUGCGCGUAGGUGCGCGCGCGUGUGUCUCAUCUCGUCCGUCUGUAGGCGCUGGGCUCGGCGAGACGCCGGAGAGAAAGAAGAGGAGGCGAGAGGUGAACUGAGUUUGAUCCUGCGGCGGCUACAAGAAUUUUGGGGCCAUACUGCAAUACUUUUGAGAAAUCGACCGCACUUGCUCUCCGCUAGCUCUCUGCCCCCUUCUUUUUUUUUUUCGAGCAGGGGAAGGGGCUUACGAGAGAGGCUCCCUCCCGCUGGACAAAGUUUUCCAAAGUUUUCCGAGUGUGAUGGUAGCGGGGAGAGCAAACCCACCAGCUUGACUCACGGCUUCAUCUCACCUCCCCUAGAGCAGCCCGUAAGCCCGCUAUAAAGGAACAAUCAAACAAACAAACAAACAAAGUUGCACCCCUGUCGCCUCGUGUCUCCUCUCUUCUUUUAGGCAAUUUUUUUCCUCCCUCUCUCCGCUCCCCUCGCAGCCUCCACUCCCCUUCCCUUGGCCCCUUCCUCCUUCUCUGUUUCGGCUGGAGGUGCCAGGACCCCCGGCCGCAGCCUCCCCUCCCCCGCCGCUCUGGUCCCCUCCCGUCGGGCCCUCCCCUCCCCCU